CCCACUCUCUCCCUAUGAUAAUGUCUGCCCUCUCUUCUCUCUAGAACAUUCUGGUUCUCUCUCUCUCAUCUUCGAUGAAGUCACCGCCUCUCCGGCCACAUCCAUCCUCACUUCUCUCGACCACCAGCCGCCAUGGAACUGUAUCUUUUUGAUUCUCUCUAGACUUGAGACUCCAGCGGCUUCCACCAUGCAAGAUGGUCACCGUUGGUCGUGCCUGGCUUGCCUCCGGCCUUUCCCGGAUAGUUUAUAGUCCGAUGGUACUACGAUUGCCAUUUUUAACGAGUUUCACAGCCAGGUUCCUUACCUCUCACUGAUUUAUUGUGAAAUCAUAAUUUCUACCUAAGUCUCUCAAUAUCCAUCUUUUAAAACAAUUCUUCAACUUAUUCUUUGCGUUUUACACUACUCUCUACUCAAUUUCUUCGAUUACUCAAUUUUUCAAGUUUCGUUCGUCUUUUCAAAACUAGAGUUUCUGAAAACCCUUUUCUUCAAAAUGCUUUCUGGUUUUAAGUGUUUGACCCUAUGUGUCUAUGAGUAUUUAUUGAUUUUACUGGGUUCUUCCUUAACCCUAACUAGCCUAUGCUAAAACCCCCAAUUUUUUUGAAACUUUGUUCGGAUUCUGCACUCGUCCGUGUUAUUUGAUACAUGCCUAUGUCCUGUGCUUUGAUUUAUGUGAUUACUUCUUCAGAAUUAGAGUAUCUUGUUAUCUUUGCCUUAGUAAUCCUCUAUUAAGGUUUCAUAUUUGAUUUAUAUUUGGCAUAUUUGUUUAUUCAUGGAAAUCUAGGUUAUUUUCCCUAAAUCUGUGUUGUUUCGAAUCCUUGAUUCACUGAAUUUUUAUGGUAAUACCUAUGUAUUGAUUCUCGAUUAUUUCCAUGUAUUUGCAACCGUAAUUAGUUUAUUACCUUUUUUUAUUAACCGUGUUACUUAUUGAUUCUUCACUAACGAUUUUCUUAAUUGAACCCUGUUGUAUCCACCCUUAAUUAUCUACCCUGUGCCAAAGUCUUACUUGAUAUCCUUUCCUUAAAUGUGUUAUGCUCUUUACCAUUGGCUAAUUACCCCUUAAUUAAGAGAAGAUUUGCUGAUUCCUUUUGCCUGACUGAUUCUGUGGUUUCCUUGAUUGAUGAAAACUGAUUUUCUUUACCUUAUUUUACUCUGCCCUCAAAUACUAUAUAUACUCUCCUCUCUUCUCACUUCCAGACACGAACAAAAUUCUAUUGCACAAAAACAUACUUAGUUUUCUCUCUUGUUUCUAUACAACCUCUCUCAUUUUCCUUGUGACUACUAAUUACUCAGUCGGCUUAAAGCCAAGACUAAGUGAUUUAGGUUGCUUUACUAUUUUACUAUUCUUUACAUCGCUACUUGCUUUGGUCUGCAUACUGAUGCUCACUUCUCUGCAUACUGAUGCUCUACUGCUCUACUCUAUCUCAUUCUUUGUUGGUAUACCCUCCAUUUGAUUUGUAGCUCUCAAAACAACAUGUUUUUGUACAUAUUGCACUUUGUUCUAUUUCUUCUAUGUUUUUUCUUGUGGUUCUAUUGUUCUUGUUGCUAUUAGCAUGUUCCUGUGUUUAGUUCUCUCUUCUCUUAGUCUAUCACACCAAUUGAUUUGCUCCCUUUCCCCCUAGCCUAGUACAUAACCAGCAUGUAGUCCUUUUUGCUUGAAAAAUGGCGUGAUUGUCUAAGUUUUUGAAAUAUUACUUGUCCCCAUCCCCCUUUCCCUUUCAGUGUUUACUUCUCUAAACUAUAUGUGAUGUUAUCACAUUGUUUUCUUUCAAAACGGCUAGAUCAUUCUCCUAAAUUGAUUUUGAACACAUUUCUCUUUAAAAAAAAAUCUAUGCAACUCCUAAAAUUUAGGUCCUACCCCCUUCGUGUAAGCAUUGCCUUGGGCACCUCUUGAGUACCCAUUGAACUUUGAUACACAAGACUGAUAAUUCCACUGCAAUUGUUUAAUGUUUGAUAUUGUUUGUGUGUUGUAUUGGCCAAGGACCCCAAUGGGCCCUUAGGGAGCUUUGCCGCACCCAAACCAUGGCAAAGGGAUAUGAAACUCGAAAGAAGUGAGGUUGGAAGAAUUGGGCCUAGAUGAAAGCUCCCUAUAGAGUAACUUCUUAUAUUUUCUUUCAUAAUGUAAUUCAGCUAUCAUGGUUUGUAAUAAAUUUUAAACAAAUGAUGUGUCUAUAGUGACAUAGGUGGGGAUUACGCAUGUUUUGGUUUAAUUGAUGGGUAUAUAAUAUGUCUAUAGGGCUUUACUUUACUUAUUUUUACAAUAGAAUCCAUGUGCAGGGCAUGUAUUUUCCAUAUAGAUAUCCUGUUUAGGCCCUUUACAUUCAGAUUAUUGUAAUGACCUUGUAAUCAAUUAGUAAGUAACAAACAACUUUUUCUUUUCUUAUAAAUUUGAUAUUGCAUUUAGAGAUCAUGUUUAGGAGCUUGUGUGCAUUAGAUGUCAUGUUACUUAGGGCUUUUGUUUCAUCUAGGUUGAAGUUACUGAGCGCCUCACCAGAUUUCUUAUUUAACAAUACUAAUUUGGGCUAAAUCGCGUCUUCUCUUUAAGAUUGGAUUAAUAUUCGUGUUCACCUUUGAUUAGGAAAUGAAUAAGACAUCUAGGCAAGCUAUAGGUCUAAUCAAUUAAUCACGCUUCUGAUUACUCAGCCUCUCUAACUUAUGAGCUACAACCCUUCUUUAAAAUGUAUUCUGUUAGAACUCCAGUCCCAUUUUGUUGCCUCUGUUUUUCUACUGAGUUGUUUACUUGUGCAUAAUCGUUCUGCUAGCAGGUUACUGAAAACCCUAUUACUGUAUUUUUUGAAGUAUGUUUUAAACUAUGUUUAUCUAUAUUUUUACUAACUCCUGAACUACUGCAAUCUCUUGUUUCUGAAAAUCAGACCUUCUUCAAGGCACUUAAUUUUUUAAAAACUUAAGGCUUCAUCUACAACUUAUCUUUUCCGCCCUUCCUGUCUUAAACUCUUCCGUUAGACCUUAAAUGUGUUUGAGACGUGCUAACUGCGUGUUUAUUUGUAGAGGGAUUUGUGAGCCUCUCAUUUGCUUCUUUUUAUUAUUCCCUUUAUGUUUAGUCCUAUUUGUUAUGAAUGGCACCUAGUAUUUUGUCAUUUAAACCUAACGGUUCAGCCUAGUCCUUACCUUGUAGCAGUAGUGGUCCUAAUAUCCUCUAGGACUUAUAGGAUGUGACAGAUAUAAC
RNAcentral lists this long non-coding RNA (3184 nucleotides) under Nicotiana benthamiana. RNAcentral's name for it is "long non-coding RNA (NBEN_LNC023155)". The record is from RNAcentral. Lineage: Eukaryota; Viridiplantae; Streptophyta; Magnoliopsida; Solanales; Solanaceae.